GACAGAGGUUGCCAAGCGUUUUUAGGCGGAAUCACUGGGCUUAAAGCGUGUGUAGGCGGAUUUUUAAGUACCUUGUGAAAUCCCACAGCUCAACUGUGGAACUGCUCGGUAUACUGGGAAUCUUGAGCCACUUAGGGCUGUCGGAACAAGCGGUGGAGCGGUGAAAUGCGUAGAUAUCUAGAGGAACGCCAAAGGUGAAGACAGGCGCUGGGCCAAAUCUGACGUGAGGCACGAAAGCGUGGGAGCGAACGGGG
RNAcentral lists this ribosomal RNA (254 nucleotides) under uncultured bacterium. Its description in RNAcentral is "partial 16S ribosomal RNA". It matches the Rfam family "Bacterial small subunit ribosomal RNA", at positions 524 to 777 of the family's 1533-position model. The record is from RNAcentral.